RNAcentral lists this non-coding RNA (26 nucleotides) under Homo sapiens (human). The record is from RNAcentral. Lineage: Eukaryota; Metazoa; Chordata; Mammalia; Primates; Hominidae.
UAAAAGGAAGAGGUUUCCACCACUGA